RNAcentral lists this transfer RNA (72 nucleotides) under Caudoviricetes sp. RNAcentral describes it as "tRNA-Gln". It matches the Rfam family "tRNA". From Rfam's summary of the family: Transfer RNA (tRNA) molecules are approximately 80 nucleotides in length. The record is from RNAcentral. Lineage: Duplodnaviria; Heunggongvirae; Uroviricota; Caudoviricetes.
UGCGUUGUAGCCAAGCGGUAAAGGCCGGGAGCUUUGACCUCCCUAUCGUGUGUUCAACUCACACCAGCGCAA